Molecule: ribosomal RNA, 440 nt
Filed under: uncultured bacterium
Lineage: Bacteria
Description: partial 16S ribosomal RNA
Rfam family: Bacterial small subunit ribosomal RNA
Source: RNAcentral
CCUACGGGAGGCAGCAGUGGGGGAUAUUGCACAAUGGGGGGAACCCUGAUGCAGCGACGCCGCGUGGGUGAAGAAGCGCCUCGGCGCGUAAAGCCCUGUCAGCAGGGAAGAAAAUGACGGUACCUGAAGAAGAAGCCCCGGCUAACUACGUGCCAGCAGCCGCGGUAAUACGUAGGGGGCAAGCGUUAUCCGGAUUUACUGGGUGUAAAGGGGGCGCAGACGGGGCUGCAAGCCAGGAGUUAAAGCCCGGGGCCCAACCCCGGGACUGCUCUUGGAACUGCGUGGCUGGAGUGCAGGAGGGGCAGGCGGAAUGCCUGGUGUAGCGGUGAAAUGCGUAGAUAUCAGGAGGAACACCGGUGGCGAAGGCGGCCUGCUGGACUGCAACUGACGUUGAGGCCCGAAAGCGUGGGGAGCGAACAGGAUUAGAUACCCGAGUAGUC